Molecule: ribosomal RNA, 572 nt
Filed under: uncultured bacterium
Lineage: Bacteria
Description: bacterial SSU rRNA
Rfam family: Bacterial small subunit ribosomal RNA
Source: RNAcentral
ACGGGUGAGUAAUACAUCGGAACGUAUCCUGGAGUGGGGGAUAGCCCGGCGAAAGCCGGAUUAAUACCGCAUACGCUCUGAGGAGGAAAGCGGGGGACCUUCGGGCCUCGCGCUCAAGGGGCGGCCGAUGGCGGAUUAGGUAGUUGGUGGGGUAAAGGCCUACCAAGCCGACGAUCCGUAGCUGGUCUGAGAGGACGACCAGCCACACUGGGACUGAGACACGGCCCAGACUCCUACGGGAGGCAGCAGUGGGGAAUUUUGGACAAUGGGGGCAACCCUGAUCCAGCAAUGCCGCGUGUGUGAAGAAGGCCUUCGGGUUGUAAAGCACUUUUGUCCGGAAAGAAAUCAUCGGGGCCAAUACCCCUGGUGGAUGACGGUACCGGAAGAAUAAGCACCGGCUAACUACGUGCCAGCAGCCGCGGUAAUACGUAGGGUGCGAGCGUUAAUCGGAAUUACUGGGCGUAAAGCGUGCGCAGGCGGUGCUGUAAGACCGAUGUGAAAUCCCCGGGCUUAACCUGGGAACUGCAUUGGUGACUGCAGCGCUGGAGUAUGGCAGAGGGGGGUGGAAUUCC